Molecule: ribosomal RNA, 634 nt
Filed under: uncultured bacterium
Lineage: Bacteria
Description: bacterial SSU rRNA
Rfam family: Bacterial small subunit ribosomal RNA
Source: RNAcentral
AACGGAGAACAAAUCCCGAUGUACAGGAAGGAGGCAUCUUCUUUCUGUGAAACAUCCUUUAGGGGAUGGGGCGCGGAUGGACCUGCGGUGCAUUAGUUUGUUGGCGGGGUAAAGGCCCACCAAGACGAUGAUGCAUAGCCGGCCUGAGAGGGCGGACGGCCACAUUGGGACUGAGACACGGCCCAGACUCCUGCGGGAGGCAGCAGUAGGGAAUUUUCGUCAAUGGGCGCAAGCCUGAACGAGCGAUGCCGCGUGAGUGAAGAAGGCCUUCGGGUCGUAAAGCUCUGUUGCGGGGGAAAAAAGGCAGCAUCAGGAAAUGGGUGCUGACUGAUGGUGCCCCGCCAGAAAGUCACGGCUAACUACGUGCCAGCAGCCGCGGUAAUACGUAGGUGGCGAGCGUUAUCCGGAAUGAUUGGGCGUAAAGGGUGCGCAGGCGGUCCUGCAAGUCUGGAGUGAAACGCAUGAGCUCAACUCAUGCAUGGCUUUGGAAACUGGAGGACUGGAGAGCAGGAGAGGGCGGUGGAACUCCAUGUGUAGCGGUAAAAUGCGUAGAUAUAUGGAAGAACACCAGUGGCGAAGGCGGCCGCCUGGCCUGUUUGCUGACGCUGAGGCACGAAAGCGUGGGGAGCAAAUA